GAUGAACGCUGGCGGCGUGCCUAAUACAUGCAAGUCGAGCGAACGGACGAGAAGCUUGCUUCUCUGAUGUUAGCGGCGGACGGGUGAGUAACACGUGGAUAACCUACCUAUAAGACUGGGAUAACUUCGGGAAACCGGAGCUAAUACCGGAUAAUAUUUUGAACCGCAUGGUUCAAAAGUGAAAGACGGUCUUGCUGUCACUUAUAGAUGGAUCCGCGCUGCAUUAGCUAGUUGGUAAGGUAACGGCUUACCAAGGCAACGAUGCAUAGCCGACCUGAGAGGGUGAUCGGCCACACUGGAACUGAGACACGGUCCAGACUCCUACGGGAGGCAGCAGUAGGGAAUCUUCCGCAAUGGGCGAAAGCCUGACGGAGCAACGCCGCGUGAGUGAUGAAGGUCUUCGGAUCGUAAAACUCUGUUAUUAGGGAAGAACAUAUGUGUAAGUAACUGUGCACAUCUUGACGGUACCUAAUCAGAAAGCCACGGCUAACUACGUGCCAGCAGCCGCGGUAAUACGUAGGUGGCAAGCGUUAUCCGGAAUUAUUGGGCGUAAAGCGCGCGUAGGCGGUUUUUUAGUCUGAUGUGAAAGCCCACGGCUCAACCGUGGAGGGUCAUUGGAAACUGGAAAACUUGAGUGCAGAAGAGGAAAGUGGAACUCCAUGUGUAGCGGUGAAAUGCGCAGAGAUAUGGAGGAACACCAGUGGCGAAGGCGACUUUCUGGUCUGUAACUGACGCUGAUGUGCGAAAGCGUGGGGAUCAAACAGGAUUAGAUACCCUGGUAGUCCACGCCGUAAACGAUGAGUGCUAAGUGUUAGGGGGUUUCCGCCCCUUAGUGCUGCAGCUAACGCAUUAAGCACUCCGCCUGGGGAGUACGACCGCAAGGUUGAAACUCAAAGGAAUUGACGGGGACCCGCACAAGCGGUGGAGCAUGUGGUUUAAUUUGAAGCAACGCGAAGAACCUUACCAAAUCUUGACAUCCUUUGACAACUCUAGAGAUAGAGCUUUCCCCUUCGGGGGACAAAGUGACAGGUGGUGCAUGGUUGUCGUCAGCUCGUGUCGUGAGAUGUUGGGUUAAGUCCCGCAACGAGCGCAACCCUUAAGCUUAGUUGCCAUCAUUAAGUUGGGCACUCUAAGUUGACUGCCGGUGACAAACCGGAGGAAGGUGGGGAUGACGUCAAAUCAUCAUGCCCCUUAUGAUUUGGGCUACACACGUGCUACAAUGGACAAUACAAAGGGCAGCGAAACCGCGAGGUCAAGCAAAUCCCAUAAAGUUGUUCUCAGUUCGGAUUGUAGUCUGCAACUCGACUACAUGAAGCUGGAAUCGCUAGUAAUCGUAGAUCAGCAUGCUACGGUGAAUACGUUCCCGGGUCU
This 1371-nucleotide ribosomal RNA is filed under the name uncultured bacterium. RNAcentral describes it as "bacterial SSU rRNA". It matches the Rfam family "Bacterial small subunit ribosomal RNA", at positions 28 to 1381 of the family's 1533-position model. The record is from RNAcentral.